UGGGUGCAAUGGCAUGAUCAUAGCUCACUGCAGCCUCGAACUCCUGGGGUCCAGUGAUUCUCCUGCCUCAGCGUCCCUUGUAAUUGGACUACAGGACCAAGCAAAGGCCUUGUGAGGACGUAACCAGGAAGAGAGUGCUCACCAGAACCUGACCAUACCGGCACCUUGAUCUCAAACUUCCAGCUUCCAGAACCAUGAGAAAUCAAUGUUUGUUGUUUUAACCACCCAGUCUAUAGAAAUUUGUUAUAGCCACCCCAGCUGACUACCACAUUGGGCAUCACAGCAAACACUACAACCAGAUGACAGAUUAAAAAAAGAAACAACCUGCUGAAAGGCUGAAACGCCCUCUGCUUAUCACAUAAAAGAAAUGGCUGAAAUCCUUUGGAACCAAUAUGACCAACUGGAGUCGGUGCAGAAGGAGCUUGCUGACAGCACAGCCUGAAUUUCCACCGUAUGUUUCAUACCAACUCCCCCUGAAUUUGCACAUGUGACACAUGAGAUAGCAUGAAGAGAUAACUGAGCAUGCCCAAGGACUUUCCAGACUUCUGCUUUCCUUCCACCAAUCACCUGCUAAUCUCAGAAUCCACCCCCUGAAACUUUUCUAAUAAAAAUACCGCUUUGAAGCCAGUACAGGGAGACAGAUUUGAGCUUGACUUCUGUCUCCUUGGGAUUGACUUUCAAUACAAAGCUUUUCUUUUCUCAAAAACAUGGUGUCAUAGCAUGGGCUUCUAGUGCAUUGGACAGUGAGCCCCUUUUACUCGAUAACAAUAUCAGCUAUGUUUUUCUCCCUCUUUCACUGUGGACUAAGCAUUCAACUUUCUUUUAUUAAUCCUUUAAAAUCCUAUACCAUUUGCAAGAUUUGCUUUAUGCACAUUGGCAAUACAGUACAAAUACAGUGUGUUUGAUUUGCACUGUAGUUGUACUGUAUUGCCACUCUGUAUAAAAAUCCAGUCAUCAGCUAGAUACCUACCUAACAAAAAAGUUGUUCCUAGAAGGAAGGAAGCAAAGCUAAUGUUUAAUGGAUAUGACUGUUUGAGUGGCUUUUAUAAGCAGUCAUUUGAUAAAUAAACAUUUCUAGGUUAUGAUGACUUUUAGUCUCCUAUACUGCUUCAGACUUCAGGGACUCAGAUAAUGAAUGCUGAGAUAAUGUGGAUGUUUUAUCAUUCUGUAGCAUUCUGAUCAUGGAUUCCAGAUACAUAAAGGUAAAGUUCUAACCUUAUAAAGAAACAACAUGGUCAGUGAAAGAGCACUGGGCUGGAAAUUACAAGUUCCAUGUCCCAGUGCAGAAUCUGCCACUAAGUAAGCUGUGAAGGCUUAGGCAAGCCAUUUCACUUUUCUCUGGCCCAUUUUAUUUGUAUGAAGAGAAAGAGAAAGGAAUUCAUUGUGAUUCUCAAGUUUUUCACUCCCCAAAGAUUCCCUUUAUUCCUCCCCCCAUUUUCAUAUGUUGAGAAAUUGUGUCUACUAAAAUAUAUUCAUUAGUAGUUUGUU
Molecule: long non-coding RNA, 1488 nt
Organism: Cercocebus atys (sooty mangabey)
Lineage: Eukaryota; Metazoa; Chordata; Mammalia; Primates; Cercopithecidae
Exons: 3
Source: RefSeq, a predicted model, not a curated record